Molecule: non-coding RNA, 68 nt
Organism: Dallia pectoralis (Alaska blackfish)
Lineage: Eukaryota; Metazoa; Chordata; Actinopteri; Esociformes; Umbridae
Source: the annotation of a GenBank genome assembly
GUUGGUGUAGCUCAGUGGUAGAGUGCAUGCUUUGUAUGAUGUCCUGUGUUCAAUCCCCAGCUUUUUCU